GAUGAAGAACGUAGCGAAAUGCGAUACGUAAUGUGAAUUGCAAAUUCAGUGAAUCAUCGAGUCUUUGAACGCACAUUGCGCCCCCUGGUAUUCCGGGGGGCAUGCCUGUCCGAGCGUCAUUGCUGCCCUCAAGCACGGCUUGUGUGUUGGGCCCCGUCCUCCGAUUCCGGGGGACGGGCCCGAAAGGCAGCGGCGGCACCGCGUCCGGUCCUCGAGCGUAUGGGGCUUUGUCACCCGCUCUGUAGGCCCGGCCGGCGCUUGCCGAUCAAACCAAAUUUUUAUCCAGGUUGACCUCGGAUCAGGUAGGGAUACCCGCUGAACUUAAGCAUAUCAAUAAGCGGAGGA
Molecule: unclassified non-coding RNA, 345 nt
Filed under: soil metagenome
Description: partial contains 5.8S ribosomal RNA, internal transcribed spacer 2, and large subunit ribosomal RNA
Rfam family: 5.8S ribosomal RNA (bases 1-119)
Source: RNAcentral